This 440-nucleotide ribosomal RNA is filed under the name uncultured bacterium. Its description in RNAcentral is "partial 16S ribosomal RNA". It matches the Rfam family "Bacterial small subunit ribosomal RNA", at positions 338 to 795 of the family's 1533-position model. The record is from RNAcentral.
CCUACGGGUGGCAGCAGUGGGGAAUAUUGCACAAUGGGGGAAACCCUGAUGCAGCGACGCCGCGUGAGUGAAGAAGUAUCUCGGUACGUAAAGCUCUAUCAGCAGGGAAGAUAAUGACGGUACCUGACCAAGAAGCCCCGGCUAACUACGUGCCAGCAGCCGCGGUAAUACGUAGGGGGCAAGCGUUAUCCGGAUUUACUGGGUGUAAAGGGUGCGUAGGUGGUUUGGCAAGUUAGUAGCGUAACUCCAAGGCUCAACCUUGGAACUACUACUAAAACUGUUGGACUUGAGUGCAGGAGGGGCAACCGGAAUUCCUAGUGUAGCGGUGGAAUGCGUAGAUAUUAGGAGGAACACCAGUGGCGAAGGCGGGUUGCUAGACUGUAACUGACACUGAGGCACGAAAGCGUGGGGAGCAAACAGGAUUAGAUACCCUUGUAGUC